Molecule: ribosomal RNA, 253 nt
Filed under: uncultured bacterium
Lineage: Bacteria
Description: partial 16S ribosomal RNA
Rfam family: Bacterial small subunit ribosomal RNA
Source: RNAcentral
UACGUAGGGACCGAGCGUUGUCCGGAAUUAUUGGGCGUAAAGAGCUCGUAGGCGGUUUGUCGCGUCUGCUGUGAAAACUGGAGGCUCAACCUCCAGCCUGCAGUGGGUACGGGCAAACUAGAGUGCGGUAGGGGAGAUUGGAAUUCCUGGUGUAGCGGUGAAAUGCGCAGAUAUCAGGAGGAACACCGAUGGCGAAGGCAGGUCUCUGGGCCACUACUGACGCUGAGAAGCGAAAGCGUGGGGAGCGAACAGG